Molecule: long non-coding RNA, 2262 nt
Filed under: Monodelphis domestica (gray short-tailed opossum)
Lineage: Eukaryota; Metazoa; Chordata; Mammalia; Didelphimorphia; Didelphidae
Description: lncRNA (ENSMODG00000017518.4)
Source: RNAcentral
AAGGAACUGAGACCCAAAGGAGUUGAAGAACUUCCUCAAGACAACGCAGUUAGAAAGUAUCAGAAACAGGAUUCAAGAUAAAGUUCUCCGAUGCCAGACACAGUUGCUAUGUUCUUUGGACUUUGGACUGUUACAUUCUCUCCUUGGAAAUGGAGCAGACUAUUCAGGCACUUAUUUUAAUAAUCAGAAGAUGAGAAGCACUCAUGAGUACUUUUAUGGUUACAAGAGUACCGUGCAUUACAAUGCCAGAACCCAAGGAAUCCGCAAGAGACCUUCAAAACCAUACCAGAAUUCCUCAGUAUGCCAUAUAAACAUAUGGAGCAGUCGAGGAGAAAAACAAGUUAGAAAUUCUACUUUUAAUUUAAAGGGAAAGCUACUUGUACUUGGGAGGGAAAAGAAAAGUGAGAAAACCACAUGGAAGACUCACAGGAUUUAAAUGAACAAUCAGUAAAGAAAACGUGCUCAGAAACAGAUGUUUCAGAACCUCAGAAUUCCAGGUCUAUGGAAAUGCAGGACCUAGCAAGUCCUCAUACACUUGUUGGAAGUAGUGAUACUCCUGGUAGCUCCAAACUGGAUAAAUCUAAUCUCAGCAACACAUCAGUUACAACAAAUGGGACAGGAGGGGACACCAUGACUGUUUUAAAUACUGCAGACUGGUUACUGAGUUGCAACACUCCUUCUUCUGCAACAAUGUCUCUUCUUGCAGUCAAAACAGAGCCCAUGAACAACAGUGAAACAACCACAACAACUGGAGAUGGAGCGCUUGACACUUUUACUGGGUCAGUAAUAACGAGUAGUGGCUACAGUCCCAGAUCAGCACAUCAGUACUCUCCACAAUUGUAUCCCUCCAAGCCCUAUCCACACAUUCUUUCUACACCAGCAGCUCAAACAAUGUCUGCCUAUGCUGGACAGACUCAAUAUUCAGGAAUGCAGCAGCCAGCAGUGUACACAGCCUACUCACAGACAGGACAACCUUACAGCUUACCCACUUACGAUUUAGGUGUGAUGUUGCCAGGCAUCAAGACAGAAAGUGGACUUUCACAAACCCAGUCACCACUACAGACGGGGUGCCUCAGUUACAGUCCAGGGUUUUCUACCCCCCAGCCAGGCCAAACACCUUAUUCUUACCAAAUGCCAGGUUCUAGUUUUGCACCAUCAUCCACUAUUUAUGCAAAUAAUUCUGUUUCUAAUUCAACGAAUUUCAGUAGCUCACAGCAGGAUUAUCCAUCAUAUACAGCCUUUGGCCAAAACCAAUAUGCACAGUAUUAUUCAGCAUCAACGUAUGGAGCAUAUAUGACUUCAAAUAACACAGCUGAUGGCACAUCUUCAUCUUCAUCAACAUAUCAGCUGCAGGAAUCUCUCCCUGGACUGACUAGUCAACCAGGUACAGAUCUCCAUUCAGGAGAUUUUGAUACAGUGCAGAGCCCUUCCACACCCAUCAAAGACCUUGAUGAGAGAACAUGUAGGAGUUCUGGGUCAAAGUCCCGAGGAAGAGGCCGGAAGAAUAAUCCAUCACCUCCACCAGACAGUGACUUGGAGCGUGUAUUUGUCUGGGAUUUGGAUGAAACCAUCAUCGUUUUUCACUCACUGCUUACAGGGUCCUAUGCACAGAAGUAUGGCAAGGAAUGUGAUCAAGUUCAUAUAGAUGAUGUUUCUUCUGAUGAUAAUGGUCAAGACUUAAGUACCUACAGCUUUGCAACUGAUGGCUUCCAUGCAGCUGCAAGUAGUGCAAACCUUUGUUUGCCAACAGGUGUAAGAGGAGGGGUUGACUGGAUGAGGAAGCUGGCUUUUCGUUACAGAAGAGUAAAAGAAUUAUAUAAUACCUACAAGAACAAUGUAGGAGGACUCCUUGGCCCAGCUAAGAGAGAUGCAUGGCUGCAAUUAAGAGCAGAGAUUGAAGGUCUAACAGACUCCUGGCUGACAAAUGCACUUAAAUCCUUAUCAAUUAUUAGUACUAGGAGUAACUGUGUAAAUGUCUUGGUAACAACAACUCAGCUUAUCCCAGCACUUGCAAAAGUCCUACUCUAUAGUUUGGGAGGUGCUUUUCCUAUUGAAAAUAUUUACAGUGCAACUAAAAUAGGAAAAGAAAGUUGCUUUGAGCGAAUAAUGCAAAGGUUUGGCAGAAAAGUAGUAUAUGUUGUAAUUGGGGAUGGUGUAGAAGAAGAACAGGCAGCAAAAAAGCACAACAUGCCUUUUUGGAGGAUAUCAAGUCAUUCAGACCUCUUGGCUCUACAUCAAGCAUUGGAACUAGAAUAUUUGUAA